RNAcentral lists this ribosomal RNA (253 nucleotides) under uncultured bacterium. RNAcentral's name for it is "partial 16S ribosomal RNA". It matches the Rfam family "Bacterial small subunit ribosomal RNA", at positions 524 to 776 of the family's 1533-position model. The record is from RNAcentral.
UACGAAGGGGGCUAGCGUUGCUCGGAAUCACUGGGCGUAAAGCGCACGUAGGCGGAUUGUUAAGUCGGGGGUGAAAUCCUGGAGCUCAACUCCAGAACUGCCUUCGAUACUGGCGAUCUUGAGUCCGGGAGAGGUGAGUGGAACUCCGAGUGUAGAGGUGAAAUUCGUAGAUAUUCGGAAGAACACCAGUGGCGUAGGCGGCUCACUGGCCCGGUACUGACGCUGAGGUGCGAAAGCGUGGGGAGCAAACAGC